RNAcentral lists this ribosomal RNA (468 nucleotides) under uncultured bacterium. RNAcentral's name for it is "partial 16S ribosomal RNA". It matches the Rfam family "Bacterial small subunit ribosomal RNA", at positions 28 to 507 of the family's 1533-position model. The record is from RNAcentral.
GACGAACGCUGGCGGCGUGCUUAACACAUGCAAGUCGAACGGUGAAGCUCCAGCUUGCUGGAGUGGAUCAGUGGCGAACGGGUGAGUAACACGUGAGCAACCUGCCCCUGACCCUGGAAUAAGCGCUGGAAACGGCGUCUAAUACUGGAUACGAGAAGGGUCCGCAUGGGCACUUUCUGGAAAGUUUUUCGGUUGGGGAUGGGCUCGCGGCCUAUCAGCUUGUUGGUGAGGUAAUGGCUCACCAAGGCGACGACGGGUAGCCGGCCUGAGAGGGCGACCGGCCACACGGGGACUGAGACAAUGCCCAGACUCCUACGGGAGGCAGCAGUGGGGAAUAUUGCACAAUGGGCGAAAGCCUGAUGCAGGGACGCCGCGUGAGGGAUGACGGCCUUCGGGUUGUAAACCUCUUUCAGCAGGGAAGAAGCGAAAGUUAGGGUACCUGCAGGAGGAACACCGGCUAACUACGUG